Molecule: transfer RNA, 77 nt
Filed under: bacterium
Lineage: Bacteria
Also listed under: 3 other names
Description: tRNA-Ala
Rfam family: tRNA
About the family: Transfer RNA (tRNA) molecules are approximately 80 nucleotides in length. Their secondary structure includes four short double-helical elements and three loops (D, anti-codon, and T loops).
Source: RNAcentral
GGGGCUGUAGCUCAGCUGGCUAGAGCACCUGCUUUGCAAGCAGGGGGUCGUGGGUUCGAGUCCCAUCAGCUCCACCA